AACUGAUACUACCUGCGGGAACCUGCGGAAGGAUCAUUACCGAGUACUCCUGCCUAGCGGGAACUCCCACCCUUGCUUACAAAUCUGUUGCUUCGGCGAGACGCUAGAAUUUCUGGCUACUGACAUCUUGAUGUCGGUGAGCGCUCGCCGAAGUUUUUUCAAACUCUUUAAUACUGAAAAGUCAGAGUAAAAGCGAAAUCUAUAAAAACUUUUAACAAUGGAUCUCUAGAUCGGAAGAGC
RNAcentral lists this unclassified non-coding RNA (240 nucleotides) under soil metagenome. Its description in RNAcentral is "partial contains 5.8S ribosomal RNA, internal transcribed spacer 2, and large subunit ribosomal RNA". The record is from RNAcentral.